RNAcentral lists this ribosomal RNA (395 nucleotides) under uncultured bacterium. RNAcentral's name for it is "bacterial SSU rRNA". It matches the Rfam family "Bacterial small subunit ribosomal RNA", at positions 30 to 429 of the family's 1533-position model. The record is from RNAcentral.
AUUGAACGCUGGCGGCAUGCCUUACACAUGCAAGUCGAACGGCAGCGGGCCUUCGGGUGCCGGCGAGUGGCGAACGGGUGAGUAAUAUAUCGGAACGUACCUUUCAGUGGGGGAUAACGUAGCGAAAGUUACGCUAAUACCGCAUAUUCUGUGAGCAGGAAAGCAGGGGAUCGCAAGACCUUGCGCUGAUUGAGCGGCCGAUAUCAGAUUAGCUAGUUGGUGAGGUAAAGGCUCACCAAGGCGACGAUCUGUAGCGGGUCUGAGAGGAUGAUCCGCCACACUGGAACUGAGACACGGUCCAGACUCCUACGGGAGGCAGCAGUGGGGAAUUUUGGACAAUGGGCGCAAGCCUGAUCCAGCCAUGCCGCGUGAGUGAAGAAGGCCUCGGUUGUAAG